UUAAAGCAUUUCGCUUACACCGAAAAAAUAUCCGUGAAAACCUGAUCGUUUCG
This 53-nucleotide transfer RNA is filed under the name Physalaemus cuvieri (barker frog). RNAcentral describes it as "partial tRNA-Val". The record is from RNAcentral. Lineage: Eukaryota; Metazoa; Chordata; Amphibia; Anura; Leptodactylidae.